CCUACGGGAGGCAGCAGUGGGGAAUAUUGGACAAUGGGGGCAACCCUGAUCCAGCCAUGCCGCGUGUGUGAAGAAGGCCCUCGGGUUGUAAAGCACUUUCAGUGAGGAAGAACGCCUGGUGGUUAAUACCCAUCAGGAAAGACAUCACUCACAGAAGAAGCACCGGCUAACUCCGUGCCAGCAGCCGCGGUAAUACGGAGGGUGCGAGCGUUAAUCGGAAUUACUGGGCGUAAAGCGCGCGUAGGUGGCUUGAUAAGCCGGUUGUGAAAGCCCCGGGCUCAACCUGGGAACGGCAUCCGGAACUGUCAAGCUAGAGAGCAGGAGAGGAAGGUAGAAUUCCCGGUGUAGCGGUGAAAUGCGUAGAGAUCGGGAGGAAUACCAGUGGCGAAGGCGGCCUUCUGGACUGACACUGACACUGAGGUGCGAAAGCGUGGGUAGCAAACAGGAUUAGAUACCCGAGUAGUC
RNAcentral lists this ribosomal RNA (465 nucleotides) under Vreelandella stevensii. RNAcentral's name for it is "partial 16S ribosomal RNA". It matches the Rfam family "Bacterial small subunit ribosomal RNA", at positions 338 to 795 of the family's 1533-position model. The record is from RNAcentral. Lineage: Bacteria; Pseudomonadati; Pseudomonadota; Gammaproteobacteria; Oceanospirillales; Halomonadaceae.